RNAcentral lists this microRNA precursor (69 nucleotides) under Xenopus laevis (African clawed frog). RNAcentral's name for it is "Xla-Mir-12482-P1_pre stem-loop". The record is from RNAcentral. RNAcentral also lists the same sequence under 1 other name. Lineage: Eukaryota; Metazoa; Chordata; Amphibia; Anura; Pipidae.
GGAUUUCACAUUGCAGGAAGCAAUGGGCUCCAAUAUAUAAAAUAAUGUUUCCUGCAGUGUGACAUCCUG